This 460-nucleotide ribosomal RNA is filed under the name uncultured bacterium. RNAcentral describes it as "partial 16S ribosomal RNA". It matches the Rfam family "Bacterial small subunit ribosomal RNA", at positions 338 to 795 of the family's 1533-position model. The record is from RNAcentral.
CCUACGGGUGGCAGCAGUGAGGAAUAUUGGUCAAUGGACGAGAGUCUGAACCAGCCAAGUAGCGUGAAGGAUGACUGCCCUAUGGGUUGUAAACUUCUUUUAUAAAGGAAUAAAACGAGGCACGUGUGCCUUUUUGCAUGUACUUUAUGAAUAAGGAUCGGCUAACUCCGUGCCAGCAGCCGCGGUAAUACGGAGGAUCCGAGCGUUAUCCGGAUUUAUUGGGUUUAACGGGAGCGUAGAUGGGUUGUUAAGUCAGUUGUGAAAGUUUGCGGCUCAACCGUAAAAUUGCAAUUGAUACUGGCAGGCUAGAGUACAGUUGAGGUAGGCGGAAUUCGUGGUGUAGCGGUGAAAUGCUUAGAUAUCACGAAGAACCCCGAUUGCGAAGGCAGCUUACUAAACUGUGACUGACAUUGAUGCUCGAAAGUGUGGGGAUCAAACAGGAUUAGAUACCCUAGUAGUC